AGGUCUGUUAGGAAACCUGAGACUUGGAGUGAGAAUCCCAGUGUGGAAAAUCAGGAAAGAGGUUAUUGAAUUCAUUGGAGAAUGAAUGCUGUUCUGAAUUUGUUUACCUCAACAAAUAGCUUAUACCUCCAAUCCUGUCUUGGCGUGCUCUGCUCAGAAGACACAAGACACACCAGGAGUGAUGUGAGGAAACAGAUAGUAAAUAUAAGGCUUUGCAACUGGGUUACUCAGGCCCUCCCUGACAAGGAGGAGCCCAUCUUGAGUGUCCCAGGAGACCUGGACCUUGUGGACAUCCUGCAGAAUGGCAUAUUGAUCCAUUACAAUGAUGACAUCAUGCUGACUGGGCAAGAUGACAAGAGGUUGCUAUACACCAGAGGGCUUGGGAAGACACAUGCCCUGCAGAAGAAAAACCUGCUCCUGAUUACAAGGAUAUGUCAAUUGCAGGGAGGCAGAGGAAGAAAUACAACAUGAUGUCUAUUGAACACAACUUUGGAGUAAGACCUUGGGACCCAACCCCUGUUUGCUUCAUAUACAAGCUUUGAGACGUGAUGAGUUUGCCUCGAUUCUCUAAGCCUCAGUUUCCUCAUCUGUUGUUGUGAGGGAAAUAAUGCAUGGAAAGCUCUUAACACAAUGGCUGGCACACAGUGAAAGUGCAAGACGUUAACUAUUAUCAUUAGAGUUUUCAAUUGGAAUGAAUAGGAGACUUAAAUUUGCAUGAUUGUACUUUUACAGUAAGCCAUUAAUGAUGCAUUCAUUUAGUUUUCUACUCCCAAAGAACAUAGAUUUGAUUAAUUAUAACAAGAAUUUAAAAAUAUUUCCAUUAUUCAGAAAUAACCUACAGAGUCUAAGCCUGUCCUUUCCUUCCUCCCUUUUUCCCUAUCUUUUUUUUUUUUUGAAAGAAAUAGCAAUUAUGUAGUCAGAUUCACUGGCUCUUUCUUCUUCUCCCUGGUAACAGGCUAAGUCUUAACCUUGAUUAGGCAGCAUUGCAUCUGAUCUAAGUUCUCCGCAGCUUUCAGCCCAGCCCCUGCUUCCCCAGGCUUCAGAGCACAGCUCUGCACCACCCUCUCUACCCCUGCUUAGCAUCAGAACAUUGCCAAAGCUAAGCAUCUAUAAAAUGUUUCUUUUGAAUAGUUGUCUACCUACUUGGAUAUUUUUUUCCUUCUUCCAGAGGCAAAAACUGGACCACUUAAUCUAUGCUGUAGGACAGUCUUGCCCCUCAGAAAAUACUUGAGCAUAUUAAGUUGUUAUGAAAUGGAUCUGAGAAGCAGAGUUCUGAACCAUGCCCAUGAAUUUCGCAGCCUCAUCACACUGGCAUUCUUUCAUAGCCCCGAAAUACUCUCCACUUGCCCUUCCUAUGAAUGCAAGUAAAGCAAAGCCUCUUGACAAAGCAAAUUAAGAGUAAUCAAUGGUUUGGGUUUUUUUUUAAAUUAUUAUUUCCUGUGACUCAAAUCAAACCUAUUUCUCAACUGUAAUGUAAGAAAAGAGAGAGAUGAAGUUGACAUUUAGGAAAAUUGAACAUUGAUAAGUAAAUUGCCUUCACUCAGUCUCUUAAGUUCUCUCUCCUUUCCCUCUAAACCACCACACCCCGUGGCCCUGCUCUCUCUCACACACACAGCUGAAGGUAUCUUUAAAGGGUACCUAUUUCCUGCAGAUCAUGCUUAUGUUAAUCUCACUUCAAGUACAGAUGCACUGAGGACAUUACAGGGUCAGUCAUUCUUAUCCACAAAGCUUUAGAUUCCACUACAUUAUUCAAACUGGACAAUGGACUUCCCCAUUUUGUGCCCAGACCUGCUCACUAAUAGAGUGACCUCCUUGUUAUGGGUGAGGAUAUAUUUGAUGCUAAAACUGCUACAAAUUUUUAUCAGCAUUUAAUCUUGAGACUGUGAAUUACUACAUCCUGCAUGUGUUGGUACCUUACUUUGAUUAAAAAUGGGAUAAAUCAG
Molecule: non-coding RNA, 1943 nt
Filed under: Pongo abelii (Sumatran orangutan)
Lineage: Eukaryota; Metazoa; Chordata; Mammalia; Primates; Hominidae
Source: RNAcentral